GACGAACGCUGGCGGCGUGCUUAACACAUGCAAGUCGAAUGGAAAAGCUAUGCUUUUGUGGGGUGCUCGAUUGGCGCACGGGUGAGUAACACGUGAGUAACCUGCCUAUGACUUUGGGUUAAUUUCAGGUAACUUGGACUAAUACAGGCUACGAGCUUCUGCUGCCUGGUGGGGGUCGGCAAGUUUCGGCGGUUGGGGAUGGACUCGCGGCUUAUCAGCUUGUUGGUGGGGUAGUGGCUUACCAAGGCUUUGACGGGUAGCCGGCCUGAGAGGGUGACCGGCCACAUUGGGACUGAGAUACGGCCCAGACUCCUACGGGAGGCAGCAGUGGGGAAUAUUGCACAAUGGGCGGAAGCCUGAUGCAGCAACGCCGCGUGCGGGAUGACGGCCUUCGGGUUGUAAACCGCUUUCGCCUGUGACGAAGCGUGAGUGACGGUAAUGGGUAAAGAAGCACCGGCUAACUACGUG
RNAcentral lists this ribosomal RNA (468 nucleotides) under uncultured bacterium. RNAcentral's name for it is "partial 16S ribosomal RNA". It matches the Rfam family "Bacterial small subunit ribosomal RNA", at positions 28 to 507 of the family's 1533-position model. The record is from RNAcentral.